Beta vulgaris subsp. vulgaris (sugar beet) is the source of this 309-nucleotide long non-coding RNA. RefSeq lists it as uncharacterized. NCBI's taxonomy places the organism in Eukaryota, Viridiplantae, Streptophyta, Magnoliopsida, Caryophyllales, Amaranthaceae. The record is from RefSeq and is a predicted model, not a curated record. The transcript is spliced from 2 exons.
UUUGGAAAGAGAAUAUAUGAGCCAUUGAUUUUUUAUUCAAUGGUUGAUAUUGCUCAAACUCUACCUUGUAAAGUUAUUUUACAACUCUAGAGGAUCCAAACACAUCAUCAUAUAUAAUCCACUAGCCUAUCCAUUGAAACAACCACAACAACAUAAAAAUCUUAGCAAAGGAUAAUAGUAUUAUAUAAAAGUGAAAUUUAGAUAUUUUCAACUAAAGUAGCUAAGAUUGAAUAAAGAUCUGUAUCUUAUUAAUAUAUAACAUCUAACAUAUAAUACUAGAUUACUCAGUGCAUAGGAUCUUAUCAAAUG